UUUUUUUCUUUAGUUUCAGUUCGAGAGUUACUUUCCGCCACCUUUCCCGAUGUUAGCUACCAGAUAGUCAACCUUGUUGCCACGCCCAAUAUGCGAUACUAUCCUAAAGAGACUCGAAGGUCCCACCAAGGAUAGAACCGCAUAUUGAAACGCUUUGCAAGGUGGAUAUCAUUACAUCAACAUUACAUAAUAGAUGGGGAUACAUACAUAAGGCAUACAAUGCCACACGGAUACAACAAUAUAUCAUACACAAUAUCAACAUCCGACUACGGAUGAAACACAAACAGAAGCUCAAACGACAUCCACCCUGCUAGCCCAGGCUGCCGACCUGGAACCUAUCCCCUGAUCGAAGGAGCAGAAGAAGAUCUCAACGCAAACAAGCAAUGCUCUUGCAUCAUGAUCAUCGCAUAACCUGUACCUGCAACUGUUGUUGUAGUAAUCUGUGAGCCACGAGGACUCAGCAAUCCCAUUACCAUGGGUAUCAAGACUAGCAAAGCUUAAAGGGAAAGGAAGGGGUAAAGUGGUGAGGCUGCAGCAGCGACUAAGCAUAUAUGGAGGCUAACAUACGCAAAUAAGAGCGGGAAGAGAGCAAGCGGAACAGUCGUGAAGCUAGCAAUGAUCAAGAAGUGGUCCUGAACUCCUACUUACGUCAAGCAUAACCCAAAAACCAUGUUCACUUCCCAGACUCCGCCGAGAAGAGACCAUCACGGCUACACACGCGGUUGAUGCGUUUUAAUUCGAAUCUGGUGUCAAGUUAUCUACAACCGGACAUUAACAAAUUCCCAUCUGCCUAUAACCGCAGGCACGGCUUUCGAAAGAUUAUACCCUAAAGGGGUGUCCCAACUUAGCCCAUGACAAGCUCUCGCGAUCAACGAAGGAAUAGACCUUCUCCCAGGAAGACCCGAUCAGACUUGGAAUCCCGGGUUACAAGACAUUUCGACAAUGGUAAAACAAGACCAGCAAGACCUCCCGAUGCGCCGACAAUCCCGAUAGGAGCUGCACAUAUCUCGUUCUCAAGGCAACACCGGAUAAGCUAAGCGUACAGGAACCGACGUAACCCAAGUUGCCAAGGGAUGGCCUCGCACGGUGCUCUAGUUUGUACCAACACUUAGACAAGCAUUGGCCCGGGGGGGCUGUAAUAAAGAUGACCCUUGGGUUAAUUACUCCCAAGGGAAAUAUAGGUGGUGGUGAGGUAAAUGGUAAAACCAAUGUUGGGCCUUGCUGGAGGAGUUUUAUUCAAAGCGAACUGUCAAGGGGGUCCCAUAAAUCACCCGACCGCGUAAGGAACGCAAAAUCCGGGAACAUAACACCGGUAUGAUGGAAACUAGGGCGGCAAGAGUGGAACAAAACACCAGGCAUAAGGCCGAGCCUUCCACCCUUUACCAAAUAUAUAGAUGCAUUAAUAAUAUAAGAGAUAUUGUGAUAUCCCAACCAAAAUCCUGUCCACCAUGGAGCAAUAUUCAACUUCACCUGCAACUAACAACGCUAUAAGAGGGGCUGAGCAAAGCGGUAACAUAGCCAAGCAACGGUUUGCUAGGAAAGGUGUCAAAGGUUAUAGGUUCAUGGCAACAUGGGAUGGCUCGACAAACAGAUGAUAGGUAGCACAGCAAAGCGAUAGAACGAAGCAACUAGCAUAGCAAUGAUAGUAGUGAGAUCCAGGGUAGCGGUCAUCUUGCCUGAAAUCCCGCAAGGAAGAAGAACGAGUCCAUGAAGAAGACAAGCGGACGUAGUCGAACGAAUCCUCACAAUCGCAAUAUUACCGGAACUAAGAAGCAACACCGGAAAGAAACAAACAACAUGGUAAAUAACCAUCACAUAAACAUGGCAUGAUGCACAACCAAGUAUGAUGCAUGUCCGGUUUAAUGAGGCAUGGCAUGGCAAAGUGCAACAAACAAUACUACAAGUUAAGUGGAGAUCAAUAUGCAACGAGUUGCAUAUUGACGAAACACCACAUCAAUUAUUUAGUUCUCUCUCGGUUUUGUACCCAACAAUAUUAAAUGUUAUUAAACAUGGCAAGGGGGUGAAACAUAAUGAAACUACCUAUCUAGGCAAGUUUAAAUGAGGCCGGAAACAACAAACAAUAAUUCCGGAAAAUCCCCAUGUGCAUAUUUUAGAUUCGGUACUGUUCUGCCCUAAACACAAUUUUAUUGUUGUUAAACAGGAAAAUAAAGGCACCAUGUUAAACUAGGCAUUUUUCCACCCCAUUUAGAUAUAAAGUUUAAUUAAUUCGGAGCUACGGUUAUUUAGUUAUGAAAUAAAUCAUUUUAGCAUGGCAUAUUAGAAAAUUUAAACAAACAACAAGUUAAACAUUUUUAACAUAGAUGAAAGUGGCAUAUUACUAAUCUACACAAUUUUCUGAGCAUUUUACAUAUAUAAAUUAUUUUAAACCGAUGCACAGUUUGUGAGAUAUUAAAUGCAUGAAGUGCAAGGACUUUUCUGUAAAACAUUAAUUCCCGGAUAAAUAGACAAAUUCGCAGAAUGGAAAAAAACUACUCUGGGCCGAAUCUGGAGGCUGGCCCAACAGGAGCAGGGAUGCUGGAGGCUCACCAUGGGCUCUUGGCCCGGUAGUGGAAAAGAGGCGGGCCGACCUGGGCCGUGGGGAGGUCCACGUGCAGCCCACACGCGGUGGUCGUGCGUGUGCUCGCACGCACACGAGCGCGUGCAUGCAGGCACGACCAUGGCGCAGGGCGGCGGCUGCGCUGGCCGGCAGGGAGGCUAGGAGGAGGCCGGGGUUGCGGGAACGAGUGGAUCCGAUCGGCGACUCGCUGGAUCCGGUGGUGGAGACGCGGGGACGGGCGGAUCUGGGAGCUCGGAGCUCUGGGACGGCGGCAUCCUGUGGAAGGGAGAGAGAUGGUGAGGAAGGAGGAGAGCAGAACGGAAGAUGGCGGGGGCGGCGACCUUGGACGGCGGAGAGGGCGGCUCCAGCGACGGCUGGAGGAGGCCGGCAGCGGGAUCCGCUGGGUUGCCGGCGACGACGGCGGGGCGAAAACGCUCGGGCACCAAGCUGGAGGUGCGGGGUGAGGCGAGGAGCGGGCGGCGGCGCGGGGUCGGGCCGACCUGGGCCCAGAUAGGCUUGCACGGGCCGCGCGCGGGCUCGGGCGGAUGGGGGCGCUGGAGGUAGGCGCAGGGGACGCGUGGCGCCGUGGGAGAGGCCGGAGGGCGCUGGCGGGGCAAGGUGGCGCGCGCUGGUUGGUCCGGGCGCGGUGGCGGCAGCGCCAAGUGGCGGCAGGGCUGUGGUCGGGCGCGGAAUCUGAGGAGGACGGGCUAGGAGAUGCCCAAAAUGGACUAGGGGGUGUUUAUAUAUAGCAGUUUUGCUAGGGUUUGGUUUUUGGGGUUUUUUUGGAGCCCUCCGAUCUCGAUCGGGCGGUUUUGGAUGCGAGGGGGGUUAGGUAGGAGGGUAGAUGGGCUGUGUAGAAGGGUUGGGCUGAGAGGAGAGAGAUGACAUGCGGCCCGGCAACUGUUUCGGAGGCCGAAACGUCCGACGAAGAUACCGACAAGGGUACCGCUAUAUGUUUAACGGUUGGGCUAACAAACAGACUCCGAAUGCGACGAAACUUGACAGGCAGCCUGUCUACACUAUAAUAAGACCGCAUGACAAGUUGCAACCCAUUCCGAGAACAUUUUUAUGCCACUUAUAAAAUAAUAUUUCGGAGGUGCCGCGGGCGCAUGCGAGUGUGGUCGGGCUCAGAACGGACAACGGAGAGAACCGGCAGAACAUAUAACGGAUGCAAGUUUUAUGAAAACGAUGCCGAUGCAAUGCGCAUGAUGACAUGAGAUGAGAUGCAUAACAAGAACAAAAUGCAAAACAACAGACAAAAACCCAACCAUGAAGGAAAUAUCAUAUAGCAUCUCCGGAAAAGGCAAGAGUUGGAGUUACGAAUAUGGAAAGUUGUAUCCGGGGCGUUACAACACUCCACCACUAUGAGAGGAUCUCGUCCCGAGAACUAGGAUGGCACCGGAGAGAAACAGAAAGGGAAGAGAAGAGGUAAAACUAAGUUACUUCUUAGACAAAUGAGUGAAACCACGAACCUUGAGAAGUUGAGCAAUUAGAGAUGAACGAGAUUGCAAACAAUCCAUUAGAAAAGAGGAACGAGGAACAUUAUGAUAACUUGAAGGUUGCAAAGGCACGAAUCAAGAGUUUAAUGGACAAGAUAGAAUUCAAAACCACUCCGGUUACAACAAGAUGAGAGAGGAAGAAUUCAGGCAGCACUCCGGUUGAACAUGGAAGGAAUAAAACAUGAACUUAACAAGAUGAGAGGAUACUUGAUGAAAUCGACAACACACUGCCUCCGGAACUAUUGAAAAAAAUGGCACAAGGGGUAAGAAGGAUUUCAGACAGCACUCCGGUUGAAAAGAGAAGCAAAACUUGAUAAGAUGAAAGAGCGUGAAGAGAUGACACAACACUCCGGUUAAAUGGAUAAGCACGAAAAGAACAUGAUCUUGACCAAACGCGGGAAUGGGUGAGGAGAGCAACAUUACAAUGACUCUGUAACGAAAGAAUAGAAGUUAGACCGUUGGGAUAAAGGGACGAGAAGAAAAUGACAACUUGUGCCACAAAUGAGCUUGGAAAACACCCUUCCAAGAUGGUUACAACGGGGUUGUUGGAAAACCAACAACGAAAAGAAUAAGCUUGUAGUGGGCUUAUGGAAACAUCGCAAGACUAUGAGAUGACAUUCUGCCAGUAACGAAAAACAAUUGCUUGUUUGAGAUCAACGAAGAGAUGAAAAACCUCUUUCACCGAGAAGGAUAUGGAGAAAGCUUGGAUCAAUGAUAAGCACCACAAAUAGCAACAUUCCUUAGGGAAGGCUUUAGGUGAAAACUAACCCAAGAUAACUCCAACAAAGAGAUUGAUGGAUUUAAAAUACCUCAUUCUUGAGAACAUGUGAAUCAAGAAACAUGAACUCAAAAUUAUCAAGAAUGACAUAACACCACCUCAAAUGAUAAGGUAGAAAGAAUUGCACUUUGGAAUGCAGGAUGAAGAAUACUUGAGCUCCUCAAAACAAGACAUGUGUUUAGCACCAUGUUUAAUUUUGAGUAUAGCUUGGCGGAUCAUCACCUCGAGAGAAAUCUUGAAGAACAAUUGAAGAAUGAAAAGAAUCCUUGAUGAACCAUCAUGUAGAGCCUCCAUGAAGAACUCUGGUAAUAAAAGGAUGAUAGAAGGGAAGAGAAGUUGAAAACACAAGGUGACGCCUUGCAAUGAUUUAGAUGGAGCUUCGCGACGAUAAUGCGGAAAACUUGGAAAUCCGGAAAUAAAAGAAUUGAAUCACCUCGAGGAAAUAAGAAUAAGAUUUAUUGUAUGCUUAUCCUUCAUCAAAUUAAAUUGAUGACAAGCAAUGGAUUUGGCAUACUACUUAUUCUCGUAGACAGGAUUAAGAGAGAUAUAGAGCAAACUUGAGAGGUCUUGAUGGAACCACCGAUGGGAUUGAAACAACGAAAGAAUGGAUGAAUUGAUACGAUAACGAAGAAAGUGAAAUCUUGAACGAACCAUCGAAAGAAUUGAAAAAGACCAUAGCAAAGGCACAAUUCACCGGGAAGAAUUGGAAAACAAAUGAAGAUAUUUGAGGGGAUUUAGAUCCAAAAGAACAAAGAGAUCAUGAGCUGAUUAAAGAGCACUUGAACGAAGCACCGGGAUAAUUGGAUAACGGUAGCUGAAAUGUGAGGGCGAAGAAUUCUUCUGGAACGAUGGCCUCCGGAUGAAAGAAAUGAAAACAACUCAUGAAAUGCUUCGGAUGGUAAGAAAAGAAUUGUCACAAUCAAAAUAAUUAUGAGGAUGGCAUGAAGCUAGAACCAUGAAUCUUUGGAAGAACUGUUAAGGAUUUAAGAGGAACUCUUCUUUGGUCUUCAAAUGUUUAGAAUGAUGAUGAGAACCACCAUGAAUUGUUGAGAUACUCCGAGAGAAUGAAAAGCGAAGGGGUUGAGCCAACGAUGAAAAGUGUUUGAAAGAUCUUGGAGAAAGACAUAUGACUGAUGAUAAUUCAUUCUUACGUCAAACUUCGAAAGACUUUGGGAAUGGCUCCGGGAAAAUUAGAAGAGUCAGGUAAGAUCCUGGAAAAAGACCCGUGGGUUAGGGCCCACUCAAAAGAUACACCGUUGAACAAUUGAUUGAAAGGGGGGAUUGCACCAGUUGAAUUAAAUGACUUGAAUGAGAUAACAACCUCAAAAUAUAUUGAACGUAUUGAGAAUGGAAACACAAGUCUUCUAAGAUAUCUUCAACACUCCAGAACAAAUGAAUAGCAAGAGGUGAGUGAUUGAGAGGUGCACCGGCAUGAGAAAUCAUUUGACACGAGGAAAGGAAUAUGAUCAACACUGAAAGCUUGAAUUAAAUCCACCGGAAAAGAAUACGAGAAUGAAGAUUGAUGAACUUGUAGCUCGUGAGCAACUUCACGAGGGAUAACCGGGUCAGAACAUUGAUUGAAAAGAGUGAAGAGACUUCACAUGAAUAAAUGGAUACUUGAUUAACAUAUAUGAGUCCUUGCAGAAAAAGGGUGGGAGGGCGGGAAAACAAAGACAACUUGGGAUGGAUGAAACGGAUACCGUUGAGAAAACUUAGAAUUGAUCUUGCGGAUGUUGAAAAUGAUCGGAUCCACUUGAAGAGAAGCACGCCGGUUGGAAAAGAAUUAACAUGACAACCUCAAUGAUCAAGAAGGAUUAGCACUCCCAUAGAAAUAUUAGAACACCAUUUAGGAAAGGUAUGGAUUCAACACUUGACUUUGAAGCAACUCGAAUACCACAAAUAAAACAAAACAAAGGAUUGGCUUGCAGAAAUAAGCCGGAACAAACAUAUGAUAGAGAUUUCGUCCGAAGUUUUCGUGGUGGGGCCCACACGGGCUUGAUUGUACAGCACCAUCAUGUACAAGGCAGUGCACAUGACAUACGAAGUGUCCCUGAACCAGCAUAGCCAAGGGUUCUUUAAGACACAACGAGACCACUGUAAAAACGAAUGUGGAAAGGCGGACCACUAGACGUCAAACCCCAAUCUCAUAUCAUGCAUCUGUCGAAAAGAUAUUCUAGGAGCUACUUGAAUUCCCACCUAUAAAACUCCCGAAACUUUUUGGUUAUGCAAUCUGGUGUUGGGGAUACAGGGGAAGCAAUAUAUCUCACCCAAACUAACAAUACCUACAUCCAAGCUGUAUCCAUCCGUCAACACAUAACCAAGAAACCUUCGGAAAUCGUGUACCUCAACCUUCGAAAAGCAUCCGUUAUACGAGUUAUGGCAAUACUCCCGAACUCCCCAGUACUGGGUGACGUCGAGGUUAUCUCACCAACAACUGCAUAAAAGAGAUUUUCGAUGUCGGCAAAACUCAGAUAUUCCAGAACUGCAACGAUAAAAUUGUGACGACAACACCUCGGAGCUCAACUCCCCGGGUCAAUGCCACAUAAUAGACAGGAGGCACCAAGAACAAUGUUCUCGUCACAAAACCAUCGGAACGAUUCCAAGAUACCCGCGUGAUCCUAAAAAAACAAUUAGUGAAAUUUGAGGAGAGGAAAGACAAAACAUCUACGUCAGGAGACCUCACCAGAGCAACGAAGGGGCUGAGGAGUAAAAAGAAUCCUACUCUCCGAUAUAUAUAAUCCUAAGACUCAAAAAUAGUUUUCUUCUAGACUCAACAACGGCUAACAAUCAAGGGGGCUCCUAUGGUCGGUCGAGGCUCUGAUUACCAACUUGCCACGCCCAAUAUGCGAUACUAUCCUAAAGAGACUCGAAAGUCCCACCAUGGAUAGAACCGCAUAUUGAAACGCUUUGCAAGGUGGAUAUCAUUACAUCAACAUUACAUAAUAGAUGGGGAUACAUACAUAAGGCAUACAAUGCCACACGGAUACAACAAUAUAUCAUACACAAUAUCAACAUCCGACUACGGAUGAAACACAAACAGAAGCUCAAACGACAUCCACCCUGCUAGCCCAGGCUGCCGACCUGGAACCUAUCCCCUGAUCGAAG
RNAcentral lists this long non-coding RNA (7939 nucleotides) under Triticum aestivum (bread wheat). RNAcentral describes it as "long non-coding RNA (TAES_LNC022608)". The record is from RNAcentral. Lineage: Eukaryota; Viridiplantae; Streptophyta; Magnoliopsida; Poales; Poaceae.